GUGAAAUUGUUGAAAGGGAAACGAUUGAAGCCAGUCGUACCUGCGGGUAAUCAGCCUUUUGGGCAUGAUUCUGGGAGUGUGAGGAGUUAAACGCCUUCAUGCCUGCAUAUUCGUGUACUUUGGGUGUACUUGCCUGUGUGGUUAGUUAACAUCAAUUUUGAUUAUCAUAAAAUGGCUGGAGGAAUGUAGCUUCGAUUUCGAUUGAAGUGUUAUAGCCUUCGGCAGAUGUGAUGAUCGGGAUUGAGGAUUGCAACGGAUACCCUUCGGGGCUACCUGUCUGAUCUCUGAUCGUUGCUCUGGUGCCGAAAGCGUGCUUACGGUUAUCAAAGUCGAUGGUCAAUAGGUUAGAAUGGGUUAAAUUCGUUAAGGAUGUUGACGUAAUGGCUUUAAACGAC
RNAcentral lists this ribosomal RNA (395 nucleotides) under uncultured Rhizophagus. Its description in RNAcentral is "eukaryotic LSU rRNA". The record is from RNAcentral. Lineage: Eukaryota; Fungi; Glomeromycota; Glomeromycetes; Glomerales; Glomeraceae.